This is an RNA transcript of Musca domestica (house fly), 2449 nucleotides long. RefSeq lists it as uncharacterized. The record is from RefSeq and is a predicted model, not a curated record. NCBI's taxonomy places the organism in Eukaryota, Metazoa, Arthropoda, Insecta, Diptera, Muscidae. The transcript is spliced from 3 exons.
UUGGAGCCUCCAAUAACGUAACAACAAGCCAUUUGGCCGCCAGCACCGCAAAUACCACCGGCGUUGCCAAAUAUGCCACCGUUAAUUAUACGCCAUCCGGAGCCAAUGCACGUAACGCAUGAAAUGUCCGUAUAAUACAUGCCAGGACAACCACAUAAUUCCAUUAAUAAUAACGUCGAUUUGCUUCAAAAGAAAAUUUAUCCUCUUCCAAUAUUUGCAGGGUUGCCAGAAGAAUGGCCAACAUUUUACGAGUUUCUUUACAGCACCACAAUAUUAUGAGGUUAAGAGACGCGGUAACCAUUAUUUGGAAGCUCUGCCAAUGUGAAAGACAUCAUGGACAACCUUAAAGAGACGUUCGGAAGACCAGAGCAACUCAUCGAAAGCCAAAUUCAAAAGGUCCGAAAAAUUCCCUCAUUAGCUCAAGACGAUUUGAAUGCCGUAAUUAAUUUUGCCAUUAAAGCAUCAAAUAUGGCAACAUUUUUAAAAAACGUUUAUACAGUAUGGCCCGGGAUAGUGAUUAUGGCAGUGCAUAUUGUGAGAAAAUAAUGUCUUCAUAUUAAAGAGCUAUUGCAGAAAACUUGAAGUGAACGAAUUACCUUUAAAUCCACAAAGAGUUUUUUAUCUACCUCAUUUUGGAGUUAAGAAUGUGAACAAAAGAGGAAUUAGGAUUGUGUUUGAUGCUGCAGUCAAAGUGAAAAAUGUGUCGUUGAAUAAGUGCCUUUUAAGUGGACCAGACAUGAAUAAUUCCUUAAUUUCAACUAUUUUUAAAUUUCGUGAAUCUCCAAUAGCCGUCUGUGGGGACAUAAACGAGGUGUUUUAUCAAGUCAAAAUCGCCAAAGUAGAUCAAGAUUGCCAACGAUUCCUUUGGAGAAACGGAGAUACAAAUAAAAUAGUGGAGACUUAUGUUACGCAAAGAGUGAUAUUUGGUGCAACUUGUUAGCCUAUUAUAGCUCAAUAUGUAAAAAAUAUGAAUGCCAAUAUGUUUGUGAAAGAGUCACCUCAUGCAGUUGAAGCGAGUGUUAAUCGCCAUUAUGUACACGACUAUGUCGACUGUUUUCAGAACGAAGAAGAAGCCGCAGAGGUGGUAAGAGGCGUGAUUAGAAUUCACAGUGCUGGAGGUUUUGCGUUGAAAAAUAUUAUUUCAAAUUCCAAGAGAGUACUUCAAUCUUGGGGAGAAUCGGCCAGCGGAGUCAACGAUAGCGGUCCUGAUCAACUGGAGCGGGCUCGAAAGAGUUGGGAUCAGAUAACUCUAGAGACUCCAGGCUGGUAAAACCAUAGCCGAUGCGAAAACGGUCAUCAAUGAAUUUAUUUGCGGCAACGGAAGCAGUAGUGAAUAAUUAGUACGUUGGGAACAAAGAACAAAGAAAUAAAUUGCAAAUUGAGUUGCGGCGUUUGUAUGACUACAGUUGAAGGUAAUUCUGGACAUUUUAAUUUAUCGCACAUGCAUAUGUUAAGAUUCAUUCGCUAGACCGAUUCACGUUCUAGGUUCACAUUUAAUUAACUAAACCCUCCGAUUUCUGCCGACCUUUUCCCCAAGUCUAAUAGUGCGACUUUAUUGUGUCGGGCCGACCUUCCCAGUGCGAGCUACUUGCUCAAAACAGAGUCUCGUCUAUUCAUCGAUAGAAGACCAAUUAAGAUAACCCAUUUCCGACCUAGACGGAAUUUGGAUACGCCAAAUCACAGUCACAUCCGUAUUUGUUGCCACUCUUUAGUGGCAAGGGUUUCAGAUCUUUGCCACGUAACCCCUCACAAAGCCGUCAAUGAAAAGGUCUAGGAGGCAUUCCUACGAUUGCAUAUCCCUCAUUUUUCCGACCAAGUCGGGUUGCGUUGGUGCUGGGCGCUGAUGUAUAUUCGAAGGUGGUGAAUCAUCGUGUACAGACGCAUCGCAGAUUACCUAUAGCACAAUACACCAUAUCUGUUUGGGUAUUGCCUGGAACUUGCUACAAUUAAAAGAACUUAAAAAAUCCGAAUUUUCUAACACAUGAAUUUUACAAAAAUCAAUUUCAAUUGCUCACAAAACGACACCGCAUCUCCUAUUUCGUUAUAUAUAGCAUUUUCAUAUUAAAUGAAACAUUCUGCAAUUGAAAUGAAACUUUUUGCAGCGGAAAUGAAAAUUGUUGCAGUUUAGAUGAAACUUUUGCAGUGGAAAUAAGGCCUUUGGCAGCGGAAAUGAACCCAUUUGCAUUCGAAGUGAAACCUUUUGCAACCGAAAUAGAAUUUUUUGCCAAUCAAAUGAAACUUUAGAUUUAUAGAAAGAAACAUAACAAAACAUUUUUAAUUUUAGUAGGUUUAAAAUGAAAUUAACUAAUUAUUUCUAAUAUAUUUAUUGAUUAUUAAUAUCUAUAUUUUUAUACUAUUUCUUAAAUUUUCAGUGUACACGAAUGUAUAUAUAAUAAUAUAAUAAUUCUAAUAAAUAUUCUUCAUUGUAACUAACUAUAGCUAGGCGCUA